CCCCCCCCCGAAAANCACUACCUCACCUUAACUGUUAACCUAACACUAGAGCAUCCAAGAAAGAUAAAAGGGNAAGAAGGAAUUCCGCAAAUAUUAGUUCCGCCUGUUACCAAAAACAUCGCCUCUUGUGAAUCAAUAAGAGGUCUAGCCUGCCCAGUGACUCUGUUCAACGGCCGCGGUAUCCUAACCGUGCAAAGGUAGCGUAAUCACUNNCCCUAAAUAGAGACUAGUAUGAAAGGCAUCACGAGAACUAAACUGUCUCCUCNCCCUAAUCAGUGAACCUAAUAACCCCGUGAAGAAGCGGGGAUCUCAAUAUAAGACGAGAAGACCCUAUGGAGCUUAAAACACUACAUCACCUGCCACCCACUUAUCUACCUUGGCACACUGAUUAUAUGUUUUUGGUUGGGGUGACCGCGGAGAAAAACCCAUCCCCCGCGAUAAAGGAAUCCUCCACAAACAGUAAGUCACAACUUUAUGUAUCAGAAAACUGACAUUAUUGACCCAAUAUAUUUGA
This 514-nucleotide ribosomal RNA is filed under the name Pristimantis verecundus (Zacualtipan robber frog). RNAcentral describes it as "partial 16S ribosomal RNA". It matches the Rfam family "Bacterial large subunit ribosomal RNA", at positions 1759 to 2432 of the family's 2925-position model. Lineage: Eukaryota; Metazoa; Chordata; Amphibia; Anura; Strabomantidae. The record is from RNAcentral.